UACAGAGACUCCAAGCGUUAUUCGGAUUCACUGGGCGUAAAGGGUGCGCAGGCGGCCAGGUGUGUCAGAGGUGAAAUACUGCAGCUUAACUGUAGAACUGCCUUUGAAACUACCUGGCUAGAGUAUCGGAGAGGCAAGCGGAAUUCCUGGUGUAGCAGUGAAAUGCGUAGAUAUCAGGAGGAACACCGAAAGCGAAGGCAGCUUGCUGGACGAUUACUGACGCUCAGGCACGAAAGCAUGGGGAGCGAAAGGGAUUAGAUACCCCCGUAGUCC
This 273-nucleotide ribosomal RNA is filed under the name uncultured bacterium. RNAcentral's name for it is "partial 16S ribosomal RNA". It matches the Rfam family "Bacterial small subunit ribosomal RNA", at positions 524 to 796 of the family's 1533-position model. The record is from RNAcentral.